Molecule: ribosomal RNA, 771 nt
Filed under: uncultured bacterium
Lineage: Bacteria
Description: bacterial SSU rRNA
Rfam family: Bacterial small subunit ribosomal RNA
Source: RNAcentral
AGAGUUUGAUCAUGGCUCAGAACAAACGCUGGCGGCGUGCCUAAUACAUGCAAGUCGAACGGGAAAGUCUUCGGAUGAGUAUAGUGGCGCACGGGUGAGUAACGCGUAGAUAAUCUGCCCUUUAGUGGGGAAUAACUCAGCGAAAGCUGGGCUAAUACCGCAUAAGACCACAGUGGCUUUGGCUACAGAGGUUAAAGGAGUAAUUCGCUAAAGGAUGAGUCUGCGUUGGAUUAGCUAGUUGGUGAGGUAAAAGCUUACCAAGGCGAUGAUCCAUAGCUGGUCUGAGAGGAUGAUCAGCCACACUGGAACUGAGACACGGUCCAGACUCCUACGGGAGGCAGCAGUAGGGAAUAUUGCACAAUGGGGGAAACCCUGAUGCAGCAACGCCGCGUGAGUGACGAAGGCCUUCGGGUCGUAAAGCUCUGUUGUAUGGGAAGAAACAAAUGACGGUACCAUACGAGAAAGGACCGGCCAACUUCGUGCCAGCAGCCGCGGUAAUACGAGGGGUCCUAGCGUUGUUCGGAAUCACUGGGCGUAAAGCGCAUGUAGGCGGCUUUGUAAGUCGGGUGUGAAAGCCCUGGGCUCAACCCAGGAAGUGCACUCGAUACUGCAGAGCUUGAAUAUGAAAGAGGGUAGUGGAAUUCCAGGUGUAGUGGUGAAAUACGUAGAUAUCUGGAGGAACUCCGGUGGCGAAGGCGGCUACCUGGUUCAAUAUUGACGCUGAGAUGCGAAAGCGUGGGGAUCAAACAGGAUUAGAUACCCUAGUAGUCC